Long non-coding RNA from Anarrhichthys ocellatus (wolf-eel), 565 nucleotides. RefSeq lists it as uncharacterized. The transcript has 3 exons. NCBI's taxonomy places the organism in Eukaryota, Metazoa, Chordata, Actinopteri, Perciformes, Anarhichadidae. The record is from RefSeq and is a predicted model, not a curated record.
AGUAGUGGUGGCGGCGGCGGCAGCGAAAGUAGUGGUCCACGUGGUCCUCGUCGCAACUCUCGUGACUAUGACCGUGGGUACGACCGCGGGUACGACCGUGGAUACGACAGAGGGGGCUGUGACCGCUAUGAUGACAGGGACCACUACAGAUCAUACAGAAGGCGAUCUCCGUCCCCAUACUACAGAGGGGCUUACAGGUCUCGGUCCAGAUCGAGGUCUUAUUCUCCUCGUCGCUAUUGAGCAUUGCUGUCAAGCCCCUCCCACAGACGGACAGGAAAUGUUUCUCAGUGGAAUGAUUGAUUUCACAAUAGAUCUUCUUUCUUAAGGAGAUCUUCAUACUUCUGUUUGCUAACGUAUAUAUGACGAGUAAAUGUAUACUGGGAUCAGUUUUGAAGCAGUAUCAUUUGACAUGACUAAGCUGUCCUCUCAUGUUUUUAAUUUUAAAUGUAUAGGCAACAACUGCCAUUAAAAAAAAUAUAUAUUAAUGUUUUUAUUAAUGUAUUUUUUGUACACGAGUGAACAUUCAUCUUUGAACCGAUUAAAAUAAAUAUGCUUUUUUUUUUCA